GUCUCUAAUGAUGAUGUUUAGCUUAAAGCUUUCACCUUCUGAGAAAUUACCCAUGUGGAAUUCAUAUGGAGACCUGAACUGAAGAGAC
Manihot esculenta (cassava) is the source of this 88-nucleotide small nucleolar RNA. RefSeq annotates it as small nucleolar RNA Z159/U59. The transcript has a single exon. NCBI's taxonomy places the organism in Eukaryota, Viridiplantae, Streptophyta, Magnoliopsida, Malpighiales, Euphorbiaceae. The record is from RefSeq and is a predicted model, not a curated record.